Molecule: non-coding RNA, 30 nt
Filed under: Cricetulus griseus (Chinese hamster)
Lineage: Eukaryota; Metazoa; Chordata; Mammalia; Rodentia; Cricetidae
Source: RNAcentral
GGGAAACUAACCAAGGAGAGAGGAAACUGU